ACUGUGGGUGCUGGGAGGCCCGGAGCGGCCUAUUCACCAACUCAGGCCCAGGGUGGAGCAGAGAAUGACUCAAGGCUACCCCAGCCUCUUUCUCAGACCAAGUACUGAGUGGGGCCUGACUGCGGGGUCUGUCUGGAUAGCCGGGCCAGCCUCCAAGGGGCAAGGCACCAUCCAGAAGAAGUACCUUCAUGGACUCCACUG
This 201-nucleotide long non-coding RNA is filed under the name Homo sapiens (human). RNAcentral describes it as "HSALNT0117637". Lineage: Eukaryota; Metazoa; Chordata; Mammalia; Primates; Hominidae. The record is from RNAcentral.